Long non-coding RNA from Aphis gossypii (cotton aphid), 1577 nucleotides. RefSeq lists it as uncharacterized. The transcript is spliced from 3 exons. The record is from RefSeq and is a predicted model, not a curated record. NCBI's taxonomy places the organism in Eukaryota, Metazoa, Arthropoda, Insecta, Hemiptera, Aphididae.
AAUAAAUACAUGUCUUUUUAAAGUACAAAAUCUAGUCUUUUUUUUUUUUAAUAAGUUACCGCAAAUGGCAAAUUACACACAAGGAUUCGAAUAACGUAGGAGUUUCAACUUGUCUAUAAUAUAUAGGUACUCUUGAUUUAUGAUUUAUAAUAAAUUAAAGCUAGAAAUCCGUUCUAUAGAAAUACAAUAGUGAUUUUAAAAAUAGAAAAUUACUAUGGUAGGACCCAAGUUUUAUUAUAGUAAGUAUUUUAUUAUUGAUAGAAAUCACAGGUUAAGUUUUACACAACUUCUCACGUUUAACUUGGUACAAAAAUAAUGUUUCUACGACCAACUAGGCCUGAGUACUAUUGGAAUUACAAAAUCAUGUUCUACGGUCAAUUUGUUCUUACUGUGACGGCCUCUUAAGAUAAAGCUUAAUGGUCAUUGCCUUCGAAUCGUUGAAAAUAAUGGUCAUUAGUAGACCAAAAGUGUGUGGUAGACCGCAUAAUAUGACUUAUAGAAACAUGUGUGGUAAAUGACAAGUGUGCGGUAGACCGCAUACGACAAGAAUACCUUAGAGAUAUUAUGGCAAAAUAUUAAAUUAAUAUUUCAAUAUGACAAUAUAAUUAUUAUUCAGUAUUUCUGUCAUCUUUUAGAUUCUAAAUGAAGCGAGGAAUGUAUUGGUUUUACAAUGAUGUUUACCUAUUUCUUUUUUUUUUCUGUAAACACUUUCUCCUCCUAAACUUGCUCAAAAGUAUCAAGUGUAGCAUCUUUUCUGAAAGGUAAUGAUCUUGAGCUGGUACUUUAGACUCAUUAGAGAGGUCAUUUUUCGAUUUUCUCAAUAGUUAUUUAACGCCAAGGGAAAAACUACGAAAAACGGAACAGUACCAAUUAGAAGCAUUAUAAAGACGGACAAGGAAAGUUGUUCAUUUGGUGGUGUUCUGCACGUCUGUGCUCUACAGUCUCCAUAGGCCAUAGUUCAGUGGCGUUGCCAUAGGAGAAGCUGAGGGGGAUACAGCCCUUCCUAAAAUUUUAAGAAAAUUGAAAAAUUAUUUUAUUAAUGGUCUAUGAAAACUGCUAUAUAAGUCUUAAAUUAUAUUUUACUGAUUUUAAAUUGUCAUAACUUUUUUACUUAUUAUAUAUUAAUAUUUAAUAAUACUUCGGAAUCUGUAUACCUACUACACUUAUAGAAAAACCUAGGUAAACCACCGCCGUGAAAAAAUUGAUAGCCUCCCUGCCUUCCCCGAAGAAAAAUCCUAGCAAUGUCAUUGCCACAGUUAGAUGUUUCAGUCACGGAAAAGAAUCGAUGUUUACUCAAGUGUAGACGUUUAUUUUAUUAUAGUUUACAAGCACGCAAUGCAUAGAAAUGCAAGCCCGAACAAUUAAAACUUUGUUGUCUUCGCCGCUCUCAGGACUCAGGUCGUAGAAUAAUUGUAUAUUUAUAAUUACUCGUGUAGAUAAUGUCACACAUUUUUAAUUGACUUAAUACUAUAGUAAUCAGUCCACAUGGUACAUCUAUUUGACUUAUUUCAGUAUUUCCAUCACAAUAAUAGCAUAAGCAAACUCAGUUAUAGGUUGAUUAUAAUGCAACGAAUUCU